UUCAGAUGAUUCUUUUGAAAAAUUUUGAGCUGUAAAAAUUGGAAUACUUCAAAAUGGAGAAUAUUUAAGAACUUGGAGUUGGCGACGUCUAUCGCCUUGGCAACCUGAAGCGUCUUGAAGAGGUGGGCGUGGUCAGAGACAGGUGCUUCCAAGGGGAAGGAGACAGAAGUGAAGGAGGUUGCAAAGCCGCAGAUCCACGUGGUUGAGUCCGCGGGGAAGAGGCCAUGUUGGUGCUACCGUCAACAGUUCGGAUAUCCAUCGGGGAUUUAUUUCUUUUUCUUGGCAUCAUAACUUGGUGACUGAUUUUCAAUAAGGUCUUGGCAGAUUGUUCAAACACAGUGAAUUCAAUUUUCAUAAAUACAUCCGACAAUAUAAGAGCAGUCCUUUCUUAGCCCUGCAGCAUAUUUUAAUGAAAGUUUCAAGAAUAUGUUUACUAAGGGUCUCCCCCUAUAGGAACUCAAAGGGUUUAUUUUUAAGAGAGAAUAACAAAAGGUCUAUAGGAGAAAUAAGCAAUCUAUCACUCCAAAAUAGAAUAAUUAAAUACAAAUUACUUUCCUCCGUUUUUGGAUUACGACUUCAAAUUCAUUCGAAACAAACCAACAGGUAAGCAAAAAAAUCAAAUUAUUUUAUCGUGAAAUGUGUUUUUGAUUUCGA
Molecule: non-coding RNA, 654 nt
Organism: Parasteatoda tepidariorum (common house spider)
Lineage: Eukaryota; Metazoa; Arthropoda; Arachnida; Araneae; Theridiidae
Source: RefSeq, a predicted model, not a curated record